UACGAAGGGGGCUAGCGUUGCUCGGAAUGACUGGGCGUAAAGGGCGCGUAGGCGGUUUGUACAGUCGGGCGUGAAAUCCCCGGGCUUAACCUGGGAAUUGCGUCCGAAACUAUGGAGCUGGAGUGUGGCAGAGGGAGGUGGAAUUCCACGUGUAGCGGUGAAAUGCGUAGAGAUGUGGAGGAACACCGAUGGCGAAGGCAGCCUCCUGGGCCAACACUGACGCUCAUGCACGAAAGCGUGGGGAGCAAACAGG
RNAcentral lists this ribosomal RNA (253 nucleotides) under uncultured bacterium. RNAcentral's name for it is "partial 16S ribosomal RNA". It matches the Rfam family "Bacterial small subunit ribosomal RNA", at positions 524 to 776 of the family's 1533-position model. The record is from RNAcentral.